This 231-nucleotide non-coding RNA is filed under the name Geobacillus sp. RNAcentral's name for it is "T-box sequence". It matches the Rfam family "T-box leader". Rfam says of the family: Uncharged tRNA acts as the effector for transcription antitermination of genes in the T-box leader family. T-boxes are found upstream of many aminoacyl-tRNA synthetase genes and some amino acid biosynthetic genes usually in Gram-positive bacteria. The anticodon of a specific tRNA base pairs to a specifier sequence within the T-box motif, and the NCCA acceptor tail of the tRNA base pairs to a conserved bulge in the T-box antiterminator hairpin. Lineage: Bacteria; Bacillati; Bacillota; Bacilli; Caryophanales; Anoxybacillaceae. The record is from RNAcentral.
UAAAUAACGGUGAAAAGGAGUAGUAGUGAACAAAACGGACUGCAGAGAGUUGACGGCUGGUGCGAGUCAACCGAAGUUUGUUCACGAACUCGCCUUGGAGUUGCGGACAUGAGCGGCUGUGUGGUUGCCUCGUAGUGUUCGCCGUGAAUCUGCGUUAACGAUGAGAGUGAGCAUGCGCGCCGCAUGCUAAUAAGGGUGGUACCGCGGGAAUUUUCGCCUCUCGUCCCUUUU